UGUGCAGUGGAGUCCAUACUCGAUGGUAAGCUUGAUGGAUAUUGCAAGUGUGCUUGGACUGGUUUCUUGCGGGAGGCACCCUCAAAUCGAUCCUUGGUUGGACUUGCUUUCAGAAAUUUCGGGUUUGCUUGUUGUGCAUGGUUAGGAUGGACAUGUAUUUCCAGGCUUUAGUGUUCUGUUGAAUAGGGAUGUACUCUCCUUGUGCAGCAAGGGAACAUGGAGAAGAGGAGCAGAGCGUUGUGCAGCAGGGGAUGAGCUGCGCGUGGCAUCGUCUCACCUCUGUGUAGAGGAUGACCAUGCAGGACAAUGGGCUAUAGUCGGCCCAAGGCAAGUACUUUUUUUUCUUCGUUUCUCUUUGUAUUUGCUUAAAACCAAUGUUCCUAGCUGAAGAAAAAUGCCAGUUUGAGGGCUCAAAACCUAACAUAAAAAUUAGGGAGAUUCAGAGGAGUUCAAGAGGUCACUUCCAGGUUUUUUAAAAUAUUUUGACAACAGUUUUGGAUUUAAAUUCAGAUUC
Long non-coding RNA from Lolium rigidum, 514 nucleotides. RefSeq lists it as uncharacterized. The transcript has 3 exons. NCBI's taxonomy places the organism in Eukaryota, Viridiplantae, Streptophyta, Magnoliopsida, Poales, Poaceae. The record is from RefSeq and is a predicted model, not a curated record.